UAGUCUGGUGCCAGCAGCCGCGGUAAUUCCAGCUCCAAUAGCGUAUAUUAAAGUUGUUGCAGUUAAAACGCUCGUAGUCGGAUUUCGGGGCAGGUUUGCCGGUCUGCCGAUGGGUAUGCACUGGUAGAACUGUCCUUCCUUCCGGAGACGGCGCCUACUCUUAACUGAGCGGGUGUCGGAGACGGAUCGUUUACUUUGAAAAAAUCAGAGUGUUUCAAGCAGGCAGCUCGCUUUUGCAUGGAUUAGCAUGGGAUAAUGAAAUAGGACUUUGGUGCUAUUUUGUUGGUUUCGAACACCGAAGUAAUGAUUAACAGGGACAGUCAGGGGCACUCGUAUUCCGCCGAGAGAGGUGAAAUUCUUAGACCAGCGGAAGACGAACCACUGCGAAAGCAUUUGCCAGGGAUGUUUUCACUGAUCAAGAACGAAAGUUAGGGGAUCGAAGACGAUCAGAUACCGUCGUAGCCUUAACCAUAAACCAUGCCGACUAGGGAUUGGAGGAUGUUCCUAUGUGACUCCUUCAGCACCUUUCGGGAAACUAAAGUCUUUGGGUUCCGGGGGGAGUAUGGUCGCAAGGCUGAAACUUAAAGGAAUUGACGGAAGGGCACCACCAGGAGUGGAGCCUGCGGCUUAAUUUGACUCAACACGGGGAAACUUACCAGGUCCAGACAUUGUGAGGAUUGACAGAUUGAGAGCUCUUUCUUGAUUCGAUGGGUGGUGGUGCAUGGCCGUUCUU
This 733-nucleotide ribosomal RNA is filed under the name uncultured eukaryote. RNAcentral's name for it is "SSU rRNA". It matches the Rfam family "Eukaryotic small subunit ribosomal RNA", at positions 557 to 1295 of the family's 1831-position model. The record is from RNAcentral.